GUCUCCAUAGCUCAGUGGUAGAGCAUGCGAUUGCAGAUCGCAGGGACAGGUGUUCAAACCACCUUGGGGACU
Molecule: transfer RNA, 72 nt
Filed under: Laccaria bicolor S238N-H82
Lineage: Eukaryota; Fungi; Basidiomycota; Agaricomycetes; Agaricales; Hydnangiaceae
Description: tRNA-Cys (GCA) (tRNA-Cys-GCA-3-1)
Rfam family: tRNA
About the family: Transfer RNA (tRNA) molecules are approximately 80 nucleotides in length. Their secondary structure includes four short double-helical elements and three loops (D, anti-codon, and T loops).
Source: RNAcentral